Molecule: ribosomal RNA, 478 nt
Filed under: uncultured bacterium
Lineage: Bacteria
Description: partial 16S ribosomal RNA
Rfam family: Bacterial small subunit ribosomal RNA
Source: RNAcentral
GAUGAACGCUGGCGGCGUGCUUAACACAUGCAAGUCGAACGAGAAAUGUAGACGGAAACCUUCGGGCGGAAGCCUUCAUUUCGAGUGGCGGACGGGUGAGUAACGCGUGGGUAACCUGCCUCAUACAGGGGGAUAACAGUUGGAAACGACUGUUAAUACCGCAUAAGACCACAGCAUCGCAUGAUGCGGGGGUAAACACUCCGGUGGUAUGAGAUGGACCCGCGUUCGAUUAGCCAGUUGGCGGGGUAACGGCCCACCAAAGCGACGAUCGAUAGCCGAUCUGAGAGGAUGACCGGCCACAUUGGGACUGAGACACGGCCCAAACUCCUACGGGAGGCAGCAGUGGGGAAUAUUGCACAAUGGGGGAAACCCUGAUGCAGCGACGCCGCGUGAGUGAAGAAGUACUUCGGUAUGUAAAGCUCUAUCAGCAGGGAAGAAAAUGACGGUACCUGAGUAAGAAGCCCCGGCUAACUACGUG